Molecule: ribosomal RNA, 253 nt
Filed under: uncultured bacterium
Lineage: Bacteria
Description: partial 16S ribosomal RNA
Rfam family: Bacterial small subunit ribosomal RNA
Source: RNAcentral
GACAGGGGGGGCAAGCGUUGCUCGGAAUUACUGGGCGUAAAGGGCGCGUAGGCGGAAUGGCAAGUCGGUCGUGAAAUCCUUCGGCUCAACCGAAGAACGUCGAUCGAAACUGCCGUUCUUGAGGAUUGCAGAGGAGACUGGAAUUCCCGGUGUAGCGGUGAAAUGUGUAGAGAUCGGGAGGAACACCGGUGGCGAAGGCGGGUCUCUGGGCAAUUCCUGACGCUGAGGCGCGAAAGCGUGGGGAGCAAACGGG